CCUUGUCCUGACAUGACAAAUAGCUCUCUCCCCAGCCACCGGAAGGUAGCUGUUUUGACAACAGAAACUCACAGGCAUUUUUUAUUUUAGGACUAUUCCUGAACGUGCUUCCUGCACUAACUAAUCCCCUCACAGCAAACCAUGUGGCGUAUGUGAAACAAAUUCCCCAAGAGCCAUACCUGUUGGGGAGUAAUUCAUGAGUAAAAAAUAUUCUGGGUUUAUCAUAUAUAGUAUACUUGUUCUCUUUGCAUGGUACGAUAUGGAAAUACUAACCACGAACCAUCGCUCCUUUGAAUAUUCUCAAUGAAGCUAACACUUUCUUUGAUACAGUUGUCAACUUCCUUCCUGCGGUACGCAGGGUAGAGUUUUCUAAAUAACACCAGAGCCUGAAGACAUGAUGAUGUACAUUCAACAUAUCUGAGAAUUCAGUUGUGAACUUUGUUUGAGUUUGUCUUACUUAUAAAAAGGCAGUACAACAAACGAAAAUCAAUGGGUUAUUGCAUCUUACGGGUAAUCGAUCAUUAUGCCUCCAAAGGUCUCUGAAGGAUUAAGAUACUGAAUUUUCAUGAAACACAUCAGUAUAGAGGAAACAUAGUUAACAAUCACAUGGAUAAAUGUAGCUGUAGUUUUUUCAACACUAUCUAAAUAUCUAAUCGAGCCAAGUGGAUCUGUACUAACAUAUGCAUUUUGAUAACUUAGUAAGUAUUUAGUUCAUCUUUGCAUUCUAAUCCAGUGACAUCCAAGAGUACAAAACCAAUAAAUGAAUUCCAUGCUUUCACCGUAAACGAACAUGAUUUUAUCAACUUGAUUCAUUCUGUGACUGUUUGUUUGAGCUAUCCUGAAAUGUUCACCAAACAAGGAAAUCGUCUGUUAUCUUGAGCUACCGUUUACACUGAUUCAUGCACGGAAAAAUUAACUUGCAGUACUGUGACAGCAACGCAAGCAAGGAAGAUCCUGAAAGGACUACUCACCUCCAGCCAUUUGUAAGACCUUGUAAGCUCAUAUGUCGCAAAACCACCAUUGUUAUUCUAAGAUGGUUAAAUAAGACAAAGAUAUGAGAGCUGGCUCUCUCAACAGAUGCGUUGAAAGUAUAAUAUUUGAAAGAAUACACAUUGAUGUAUACAUUAAUUAGAAUCAAAGAGAAAUUGCUAGCAAAGAAAUUUUGCAAGUAUUCGAAGCUCAUUUUAUAAUAUUAAAAGUGUUUUUUACAUCCACAAUAAGUUCUGUUGCUGCCUGUUCAUGUAAUUUAAAAUUGAGCGAUGUGUGAUAUGACAAAAAAUAGUUCUAAUAAUUCCACUACUCCAAGCAUUUAGUAGGGAGCGUGCAAAACACAGGCUAUGUUUACAAUUUUAAAUUGGGCAAUUGGGACAAUGACUUAUUCUAUGAUGACAGCUGAUGCAGAAGACGAGAAAAAUUCAAGGGUGCUUACCUUAAAAGACAGCAGACAGUCGAUAGCAUCAUAAAAUCUUUCAGCUUCCAGUGGUUCACCAACUUUUUCAGGGGAAAUCAUUGAUAACAAUAGUGCUGCCUGGAGGUAAGAAAAAAUCAAAUAAAUACAACUACUUAAAAAAUAUUAUAAAUUAUGAUGAUGAGCUUGAAAUUUUAUUUUCAAUAUUCAAGAAUAGAAGCACAGAGCACUAUUGAAUAUCAUACGUACAAAAGCUACAGUAUAUUGUUAUGCAUGUCCAAAAUAGUUUUCGAUUUAGAUGGGGAAAAAGAAAUAUAAUUAAAAUAAAGACAACCAAUAUUCACCUUUAGUCCUGUUGCCGUGCAAUCCGCUACAGCCCAACCUUGAUCGCCUGUGGAAAAUGUCCAUCCACCUUUCGACUUGUGGCGAUACCAGUUUUUGAAAUCACCAGGGCAAUUGUGAAGAACCUUUCAUGGUAAGAAAAAUACCCAAUUUAUAAGUGUGCCAAAUAAAUGCAAUUGACACUUCAUGGAGAAAAGUUGAGAUAUCCAGGCUAGUAGCAUGCAUGUACCUGUGACAUCUUAACGAAGGCAUGCACCCGUUUAAGAGUUACUAUAAAGUCUUCGAUAAGGCAAGUACCCACAAUGGCCUGAGCUGUCAAACCAGCUUCCCAUAGUUGGCUGCCGUCAUAGCCCUUCAAUUAAGCACAGUGCACAGAAGUUCGAUAUCAUGUCAUUAAAUAAAACAUGACAAUAAAAGUGACAAUAGGAUUAAUGUUUUUUUCAUUUUAUCAUGUUAGUCAAUAUAGUUGAGUGAAGUCAUCGUCUCAACAAAAUACAAAGUGAUUUAUAUAUGCUGUUUGUGUACUGUUGUUGGUGCUUGUUUCUUGAGCAAAAGAUACAAUAUGUAAGCUGUGGUCCUAUUCAGCUACGGUUAGUCGUUAACCACGCUCUGGAUGCAUGCAUGCAGAGUGCACCAUAGGGCAGCAUUGUGUAAGCACUGCUUGCAUGCCUUCAUAAUCACACCAGAGGGCAAAAGAAUACUUCUUUUUAAUAUAAUCAGCAGCUUUCCUGCUUGGUCCAUUUAAAAAAAUAAUAGGGCAUAAGAAUAAGCAAUAGUUUCAAGUAAAAGGGGCAGCAAUAGUUACCUUCAUUUUCAUGCCAUCUUCAGCAAGCCACAAAUAAUCAUAGAUUCGAGGAAUAUGGAGUUUGAAUGCCUCUGAGUUUGGAUCUUCAAUCCAGCAAGCAAGCAUAUGCAUUACCUGUGAUAAUAAAAAAAAAUUUGGAGCGAUCAGUUGAACAAAUGAAUUGUAAACUAAUCUUGAAUACCUUGCUCACAGGACCACUUGUGAUGUACCGACUGUUCUCAUCCUCAUAAUGAAUGUGACACAAUACUUUGCGCAAUGCUUUCUCCCUCAAUUUGCGCCCGGGCCAACUCAUCAUAAAAGGUUCAACAAACUUGUGGAGAGUGGCCCAUAAGAUAUCUUGAACCAACGAAUGCGGAUAGUACAAAUCUUCCUAAAGUACAAGCAAGAAAAAAUAUGGCAGCUAUCUAAGUUUCGAUAUUCACUAUAAUAACUGCAUUCAUAUUGUAGUGAUUUUAUAGUGACUGGUAUAAGCGAUUUUGUCUAAAAAUACUGAUGAUUGUUUCCUUGUUGAGUUGUCAAUUUAAAAGAUUCAGUUAUAUCCUAUGUAUUCUUAUACACGAAGCUAAUUAACAUCACUUGGUACAAUAAGCCUGCUUUCUUAUGAUCAUGACUUAUUACUCAAAACCAUCUUGUUCAUCGGAUUAAUAUUUCUAAUGUUAUAAUUCAGACUUUUCAACAAACCUUAGCACAUUGAUUUCGAGCGUUGUUCCAAUCAAUAUGGCUGUAUGAGUCUUUGUAGAGUUCAUUUCUCAAUUCCUGGACAAGUUGUGUCAUACGGCCAACAAACCUCUUUCCGUAAACGUAAGACAUGGGUAAAUACACCGAUCGACAAUGACUCCACAUUCGGCCUGAAACGAUUAGUGAAGCGUAAUAGCAUGAGCAAAAAAUAUCCUAACACAAAAGAAAGUAAUACUACUUAUCAACAAUGAGGUAUGGCAAUAGAAGUAGUCUAUAGUAAACUAAUAUGACGUGUACACAAAUAAAUAAUCUUGAGCCUGUUUGUCUCCCUCGUUUCUUAGCCCAAUUCACUGAACAAAGCCUAAAGAUUUGGUAUAGUCAAUGUUUUUUCCCGAUCCCCUUUCCAAAAAGGAAAGUUGUGGAAUGGUUAAGAAAAUAUUUAUUUACUGGUUUCACUUAAAGUAAAAUUAAGCAUGAACUCCCCAAAGUUCUACUUUAUCUAUUGUGAAAGUAUUUGAAAUUACUCAUUAUAUUAGAUAAAAAUGUUUGUAAAACAUAUAAUUUAAUUUUCGUUGUAUUUCAGAAAACUAUAAUUUUUUGAAUUAAUGACACAAAAGUGCACUUUUAAUAUCAUCGCCAUUAAAAUUUAUACAUUCACAAAUCAAUAUGUAAAUAUAUGCUGUCAACUUUUAUCCUCUUGCUAAUCAUGAAUGCUUUAUGUUCCAAUUGGUGUUGCUUUAUAAUCCCCAGCCACAAUUCACAAUAUGGGAUGUUGUUACCCUGAGCAAAAGGUCACUAGAUGCCUAGGUUUGCUUCAAUCUUUUCAUUAUUUAUUCAGUCUGCCAUGCGCAGCACCUAUGCACGGUACACUAAGGGUGUGGUUGGUUGUAUGAAAUGAUUCAAAAUAAUAACGAUCAUUUUGUUUGGUUGGGUGAAUUGUACCAACUCAUCGAUGAUGAAGCCAUCCUACUUAAUUUAUUAUUCUACUAGUAGGAGUGAAUACAAGCAAAUUGGUUGAACCCCACCAUCCAAAAUCAUCCAUACAUGCAUUAUGUAGUGCAUGCAACCAAACAACACUCUAAGUUAGUACAGUAGUUGUUAUGAUUUACCAACAGACAUUUAUUGCAUGCUCUGGUUCCAUCGCAGAUAAGUUUCUGUGUUUGUCCUGAGUAAAAGAUUCGAUGUCGACCAGAUUCAUAUAUAAAAGUUUUAACAUGCGCCAUAUAUCUAUGAAAAUACAUUUCAUAAUAGAUCUAAUUAUGCUCAUUUAAUUUGAUAUUUUAGAUAUAAUUAUUCUUUUCAAUAAACUAUGUUAAACAUAGAAUAAUCUGACGACAAAUUCAGAAUCUCUUAUAUGUAACACAAUGGAAUGUGCCUCAAGGAAGAAAUCAGAACCUGGGUGAAUCGGCAGGUAAUAUGGCAACAGCCAUAAUUCUGGUGGCAUCGGGUUGAUUCCAGACCAGUCAAAUACUCCAAGUACCUUAAAUGUAUAGUUAAGAGAUAUUCAUGAGUACUUUAGUUCGUGAAGCAAGAUUAAAUAACACUGGCGUGGCUAAGGGUUAAUUAAUCCCCUACUGCAAGCCAAAACUUCCCCCAUGACGUUGUAAAUGUUGCUCCUCCGCGCUCUAAAAUCCAAUUUCGACCUUGCUUCAUAGCUCCAUCGCCGCCAUUUGGGCCUUCCCCAAGUAAUCUCAAAGUAACAUAGUUCAAUGUUGUGCAAAACAUGGUGCUGUGGCCCUCAAUGUGCAACCCCCAGCCUCCAUCUUCAUU
This 5003-nucleotide long non-coding RNA is filed under the name Setaria viridis. RNAcentral's name for it is "long non-coding RNA (SVIR_LNC008733)". Lineage: Eukaryota; Viridiplantae; Streptophyta; Magnoliopsida; Poales; Poaceae. The record is from RNAcentral.